UACGGAAGGCAGCAGUGGGGAAUAUUGCACAAUGGGCGCAAGCCUGAUGCAGCCAUGCCGCGUGUAUGAAGAAGGCCUUCGGGUUGUAAAGUACUUUCAGUCGUGAGGAAGGUGUUAAGGUUAAUAACCUUAGCAAUUGACGUUAGCGACAGAAGAAGCAUCGGCUAACUCCGUGCCAGCAGCCGCGGUAAUACGGAGGGUGCGAGCGUUAAUCGGAAUUACUGGGCGUAAAGGGCACGCAGGCGGUUAAUUAAGUUGGAUGUGAAAUCCCCGGGCUUAACCUGGGAAUGGCAUUCAAGACUGGUUAGCUAGAGUCUUGUAGAGGGGGGUAGAAUUCCAUGUGUAGCGGUGAAAUGCGUAGAGAUGUGGAGGAAUACCGGGUGGCGAAGGCGGCCCCUGGGACAAAGACUGACGCUCAUGUGCGAAAGCGUGGGGAGCAAACGAGGAUUAGAUACC
This 456-nucleotide ribosomal RNA is filed under the name uncultured bacterium. Its description in RNAcentral is "bacterial SSU rRNA". It matches the Rfam family "Bacterial small subunit ribosomal RNA", at positions 340 to 786 of the family's 1533-position model. The record is from RNAcentral.